GCCUUUGUGGUGUAGUGGUCAGCACGCUCGGCGCGUAUUCAAGAGAUCCAUGGUUCGAGUCUCGGCAGGGGCG
RNAcentral lists this transfer RNA (73 nucleotides) under Stegodyphus mimosarum. It matches the Rfam family "tRNA". Rfam says of the family: Transfer RNA (tRNA) molecules are approximately 80 nucleotides in length. Their secondary structure includes four short double-helical elements and three loops (D, anti-codon, and T loops). Further hydrogen bonds mediate the characteristic L-shaped molecular structure. tRNAs have two regions of fundamental functional importance: the anti-codon, which is responsible for specific mRNA codon recognition, and the 3' end, to which the tRNAs corresponding amino acid is attached (by aminoacyl-tRNA synthetases). tRNAs cope with the degeneracy of the genetic code in two manners: having more than one tRNA (with a specific anti-codon) for a particular amino acid; and 'wobble' base-pairing, i.e. permitting non-standard base-pairing at the 3rd anti-codon position. Lineage: Eukaryota; Metazoa; Arthropoda; Arachnida; Araneae; Eresidae. The record is from Rfam by way of RNAcentral.